UAGGGAAUCUUCGGCAAUGGGGGCAACCCUGACCGAGCAACGCCGCGUGAGUGAAGAAGGUUUUCGGAUCGUUAAAGCUCUGUUGUAAGUCAAGAACGGGUGUGAGAGUGGAAAGUUCACACUGUGACGGUAGCUUACCAGAAAGGGACGGCUAACUACGUGCCAGCAGCCGCGGUAAUACGUAGGUCCCGAGCGUUGUCCGGAUUUAUUGGGCGUAAAGCGAUGCGCAGGCGGUUUGAUAAGUCUUGAAGUUAAAGGCUGUAGG
This 265-nucleotide ribosomal RNA is filed under the name uncultured bacterium. Its description in RNAcentral is "partial 16S ribosomal RNA". It matches the Rfam family "Bacterial small subunit ribosomal RNA", at positions 355 to 608 of the family's 1533-position model. The record is from RNAcentral.